AUGUUUAAAUGUUUUAUGUGAUAAGAAAUUUUAAAUAAGGUACAGCUAAAUGAUAUCGUUAAUUAUUUUUCAUUUGUUUCAUGGAGGUUUAAAAAACUAUUUUAUACUUAUUAGGCGAAAAAGACGAUCAAAUAAACUAAUUUCUGCCAAACAAGUGUAACAUAUGUUACACAUGUUUGUUUGUAAUUUUUGAGUUGCUGAAUAUGAUGAUAUCAGUUUUAAUUGUCAAAAUUCGUAUUAAAGGGGUCAAAAAUAAAAAAAAACCUUAUUUUGGUCCCUUUAAGACAAAUUUUUACCAUUUUCCCACAGCUUAAGACAAAUAAAACUGACUAUUACUAUCGUAUUCAGCAGCUCAAAAACUAUAAGAAAACAUGUAUAACUUACAUUACAUUUCUUAGGCAGAAAUCGGUCUAUUUAAUCUAUUUUGUCCUUUAUAGUAUUCCUUAUUCAGUGUAUUAGUUAUAUUAAUAUUUCAAUGAUUAAUAAGUAUAAAUGCAAACAUUAAAUGCGAUGUUUUAUCUUGCAGAUGAUAAUAUUGCAAGUAAAGAAAAUGAAUAUCCGGCCGUAGCAGAGAUACAAGAUGAAAUUCGUGAAGAAGUUUUACAUAAGAAAUGCAACAAUGUCCCACUUAAGGAAUUACAAAUAAAAUUAUCAAGAAUCGAUGACAGUAUUCUACAUAAAAUAGCCAAAAAAAAUGAAAGUUAUAAAAAAACAAUUACAAAAAGAAAGUGUUCGACUAAAUUAAGAAUAUAACCAGAAGUCUAUUCUUUAUGUACUUAUGGAGUUAUAACCUUCAAAUAAGAGUUAUAAUCUACGUUACAAAUUGGACAUCGUUUUGAUUGCAAUUGCAAGAUACAAUCCAUACAACAACAUAAGUGACCACAAGGAAUAAAUAUAUGAUCUGCUCUUUUUACUAAGCAGACGCUGCAACAGUUAGAUGUACGUAUAUUAGAUAUUGGCUGCACUGGGUAAUAUGGAAUAUCUUCUUUUUCGGUUUCAUCUGGAAAAAUAUUGCCAUAAUCAUCGGGAGGAAUGCAAUAAAUAUCUUCAUCACCUGCAAUAAAAGGAAAUUAUGAUUUUAGGGUACAAUUAGCAAAUGUUUGUUUUAUAUGUAACAUUAAUGCAGUUUAAAAUAGAGAAAAACAGAAAAUUACACUUACUCAAAAUUUAUAAAUUUUCUGACAAUACUUUAUACUUUAUAUGUAUAAUAAUUUUUAUUAUUACAAAGUAUAGUAUAUUAUAAGUAAAAUAAUUUACUGAAUAUUGAUUCUUUUAGCCUUUAAAUUUUGUUUAUGCUUCAUAGAAGAUAAGAUAAUACAUAUGAUAUAUAGCGUUCUUAUCAAAACAAAAUCUAUUAUAAGUGUAAUUUUCUGUUUUUCUCUAUUUUAAACUGCAUUAAUGUUACAUAUAAAACAAACAUUUGCUAAUUGUACCCUAAAAUCAUAAUUUCCUUUUAUUGCAGGUGAUGAAGAUAUUUAUUGCAUUCCUCCCGAUGAUUAUGGCAAUAUUUUUCCAGAUGAAACCGAAAAAGAAGAUAUUCCAUAUUACCCAGUGCAGCCAAUAUCUAAUAUACGUACAUCUAACUGUUGCAGUGUCUGCUUAGUAAAAAGAGCAGAUCAUAUAUUUAUUCCUUGUGGUCACUUAUGUUGUUGUAUGGAUUGUAUCUUGCAAUUGCAAUCAAAACGAUGUCCAAUUUGUAACGUAGAUUAUAACUCUUAUUUGAAGGUUAUAACUCCAUAAGUACAUAAAGAAUAGACUGAAAAUAUAACUUUUUUAAUA
Formica exsecta is the source of this 1779-nucleotide long non-coding RNA. RefSeq lists it as uncharacterized. The record is from RefSeq and is a predicted model, not a curated record. The transcript is spliced from 3 exons. Lineage: Eukaryota; Metazoa; Arthropoda; Insecta; Hymenoptera; Formicidae.